GAUGAACGCUGGCGGCGUGCUUAACACAUGCAAGUCGAACGGUGAAGCAGGAGCUUGCUCUUGUGGAUCAGUGGCGAACGGGUGAGUAACACGUGAGCAACCUGCCCCUGACUCUGGGAUAAGCGCUGGAAACGGCGUCUAAUACUGGAUAUGUGAUGUGACCGCAUGGUCUGCAUCUGGAAAGAAUUUCGGUUGGGGAUGGGCUCGCGGGCUAUCAGCUUGUUGGUGAGGUAAUGGCUCACCAAGGCGUCGACGGGUAGCCGGCCUGAGAGGGUGACCGGCCACACUGGGACUGAGACACGGCCCAGACUCCUACGGGAGGCAGCAGUGGUGAGUAUUGCACAAUGGGCGGAAGCCUGAUGCAGCAACGCCGCGUGAGGGAUGACGGCCUUCGGGUUGUAAACCUCUUUUAGCAGGGAAGAAGCGAAAGUGACGGUACCUGCAGAAAAAGCACCGGCUAACUACGUGCCAGCAGCCGCAGUAA
This 484-nucleotide ribosomal RNA is filed under the name uncultured bacterium. RNAcentral describes it as "partial 16S ribosomal RNA". It matches the Rfam family "Bacterial small subunit ribosomal RNA", at positions 28 to 523 of the family's 1533-position model. The record is from RNAcentral.